AGAGCCUUGAGGGAGCAGCAAGGACAUACUGUGACAUAAUAAAGGCCAUAUGCACUGUGAUCUCAUAGUCAAUGUCAUGUCAAAGGAGGAACAGCUUAUACAAUCAGAAUGAGACAAAGUUUCCAAUCUCUGCUCUUAGACCAUCUUAACUAGAGUGAAGCGGUGUGACCAGCUAUGAUGCCUCAUCCUCUUGUUGCCAUGGAUUUCCAGUUAUGGUGGACUUUAUCCUUGAACUCUGAACCCAGACAAACCUUUCCUUCCUUAAGUUGCUUUUGUCAGGAAUUUGAUCUGAACAACAGAAGUAAAUGAUACAGAUGCCGAACUUCA
Non-coding RNA from Rattus norvegicus (Norway rat), 327 nucleotides. Lineage: Eukaryota; Metazoa; Chordata; Mammalia; Rodentia; Muridae. The record is from RefSeq and is a predicted model, not a curated record.